AUGACAUUUUGGCUUCAUUGUCUUUUCCUUUUAGCAGUAUUUGAAGGUGUCCAGUCAGAAAUGCAGCUCAGGGAAUCUGGAGGGGAUAUCAAGAGACCUGGGGAAUCCCUCCGCCUCUCCUGUCAAGCCUCUGGUUUGGACUUCAGUAACUAUUGGAUGAGCUGGGUGAGACAGGUUCCAGGGAAGGGCCUGGAAUGGGUGGCCUACAUAAACUCCAAUUCAGCUGCAAUGUACUACCUGGAUAAAGUGAAAGGAAGAUUCACCAUCUCCAGAGACAAUUCCAACAGCCUCCUCUAUCUGCAAAUGAACAACCUUAAACCCGAGGACACGGCUGUGUAUUACUGUGCAAGAGACACAGUGAGAGGAAGUGAAUCUGAAGCCAGACAAAAACCCUUCUUUUCUCAUGACUGCUCUCAAUUACAAUCUUGA
This is a non-coding RNA of Podarcis raffonei (Aeolian wall lizard), 429 nucleotides long. The record is from the annotation of a RefSeq genome assembly. NCBI's taxonomy places the organism in Eukaryota, Metazoa, Chordata, Lepidosauria, Squamata, Lacertidae.